AUUGAACGCUGGCGGCAGGCCUAACACAUGCAAGUCGAACGGCAGCACAGAAGAGCUUGCUCUUUGGGUGGCGAGUGGCGGACGGGUGAGUAAUGUCUGGGAAACUGCCCGAUGGAGGGGGAUAACUACUGGAAACGGUAGCUAAUACCGCAUAACGUCGCGGGACCAAAGUGGGGGACCUUCGGGCCUCACACCAUCGGAUGUGCCCAGAUGGGAUUAGCUAGUAGGUGGGGUAAUGGCUCACCUAGGCGACGAUCCCUAGCUGGUCUGAGAGGAUGACCAGCCACACGGGAACUGGGACACGGUCCAGACUCCUACGGGAGGCAGCAGUGGGGAAUAUUGCACAAUGGGCGCAAGCCUGAUGCAGCCAUGCCGCGUGUAUGAAGAAGGCCUUCGGGUUGUAAAGUACUUUCAGCGGGGAGGAAGGCGGUGAGGUUAAUAACCUCGCCGAUUGACGUUACCCGCAGAAGAAGCACCGGCUAACUCCGUGCCAGCAGCCGCGGUAA
This 506-nucleotide ribosomal RNA is filed under the name uncultured bacterium. Its description in RNAcentral is "partial 16S ribosomal RNA". It matches the Rfam family "Bacterial small subunit ribosomal RNA", at positions 29 to 523 of the family's 1533-position model. The record is from RNAcentral.